Molecule: ribosomal RNA, 515 nt
Filed under: Pseudophasma sp. WS128
Lineage: Eukaryota; Metazoa; Arthropoda; Insecta; Phasmatodea; Pseudophasmatidae
Description: partial 16S ribosomal RNA
Rfam family: Bacterial large subunit ribosomal RNA
Source: RNAcentral
AAAACAUCUUUUCUUGUUAAUUUAUUUGAAGUUUGGCCUGCCCAAUGAUUUAUUUAAUGGCCGCGGUAAUUUGACCGUGCAAAGGUAGCAUAAUCAUUAGUCUAUUAAUUGUUGACUUGUAUGAAUGGUUGGACGAGAUAAUUACUGUCUCAUAUUUAUUUUAUGAAUUUGAUUUUUUAGUCAAAAAGCUUAAAUUUUAUUAUAGGACGAGAAGACCCUAUAGAUCUUUAUUAUUUAUUAAAAUAUAUUUUUUAGUUUAUUUAUUUAUAUUUUUAUAAAUUUUUUUGUUGGGGUGACAUGAAGAUAAAUUUAACUCUUUAUAUUAUUUACAAUAAUUUUUGAAUAUUUGACCUUUUAUUAAUGUUUUUAAGAUAUAGAUACCUUAGGGAUAACAGCGUAAUUUUUUUUGAGAGUUCUUAUCGACAAAGGAGAUUGCGACCUCGAUGUUGGAUUAAAAAUACUAUUAGGUGUAGGUGCUUAAUAAUGUAGGUCUGUUCGACCUUUAAAUUUUUACA